RNAcentral lists this ribosomal RNA (208 nucleotides) under Laportea aestuans. RNAcentral describes it as "5.8S ribosomal RNA". The stretch from base 49 to 204 matches the Rfam family "5.8S ribosomal RNA". From Rfam's summary of the family: 5.8S ribosomal RNA (5.8S rRNA) is a component of the large subunit of the eukaryotic ribosome. It is transcribed by RNA polymerase I as part of the 45S precursor that also contains 18S and 28S rRNA. The record is from RNAcentral. Lineage: Eukaryota; Viridiplantae; Streptophyta; Magnoliopsida; Rosales; Urticaceae.
CCCGGUGCGAUGCAUUUGGAGCAUUGAGCUUUGAUCGUAAGUCAUAACGACUCUCGGCAACGGAUAUCUCGGCUCUCGAAUCGAUGAAGAACGUAGCGAAAUGCGAUACGUGGUGUGAAUUGCAGGAUCCCGUGAACCAUCGAGUUUUUGAACGCAAGUUGCGCCCGAAGCCGUCAGGCCAAGGGCACGUCUGCCUGGGCGUCACGCA